Amphiprion ocellaris (clown anemonefish) is the source of this 3247-nucleotide RNA transcript. It is a transcript of the gene named RNA-binding protein with multiple splicing-like, with no coding region annotated. The record is from RefSeq and is a predicted model, not a curated record. The transcript is spliced from 9 exons. Lineage: Eukaryota; Metazoa; Chordata; Actinopteri; Pomacentridae.
CGGAGAAGUUUCGCUCCGGUCAACAUUUACUGUUUGGGGACGAGCAGCAGCAGCAACAAGGAGGAGGAGGAGAAGAAGAAGAAGGUAGAGAAGAAGAAGAAGUAGACUGAGCAGCUUUAAAGGGAAUGUCGAGGAAUAUCUGACAGCACAGAAACAACACACCUCAGCUUUUACCUCUUUUUUAUUCCCCCCAAAAAACCUUCCGUAAAACAAACCACCGGGCUGUGCCAUCAUUGAUGAAGAAGUGAAGCUCGGGUCAGAAGGACAGCGGCCGGACUGGUGUCUCCUCCGAGGCUUGAUUUGCGGCUGAAGAAGAAGGAAGAGUGCAAAAAUAAAACGUCCGAGUGAAAAAGUGACACAAGAGUCAGAAUGAAUAACAACAAAAUCGAGAAAGAAAACGAGCAGAGUGAAUUCAGCAACCACGAAGAGGAGGUCCGAACACUAUUUGUCAGUGGACUGCCGCUGGAUAUAAAACCUCGGGAGCUGUAUCUCCUCUUCAGACCAUUUAAGGGUUACGAAGGCUCCUUGAUAAAACUCACUUCGAAACAGCCGGUGGGGUUUGUCAGCUUUGACAGUCGAUCAGAGGCCGAGGCUGCUAAGAAUGCCUUGAACGGGGUCCGUUUUGAUCCGGAGAUCCCUCAAACUCUGCGGCUGGAGUUCGCCAAGGCCAACACCAAGAUGGCCAAAAACAAGCUGGUCGGCACUCCCAACCCCCCUCCGUCGCAGCAGAGCCCCGGGCCACAGUUCAUCAGCAGAGACCCAUAUGAGCUCACAGUGCCUGCUCUAUAUCCCAGCAGCCCAGACGUGUGGGCUUCAUACCCGCUGUACCCGGCGGAGCUGUCGCCGGCCCUCCCACCCGCUUUCACCUACCCCUCCUCGCUCCACGCUCAGAUCCGUUGGCUCCCACCUGCAGAUGGAACUCCUCAGGGAUGGAAGUCCAGGCAGUUCUGCUGAAGUUCCUGAUGUGUGAUGGUGGCCAUGGCCGGCUGUGACGUUGCCGACUGCCUCUCGUGUCCUAUUAGAAACCAGGAGGACCGAACCGACCCGACCCGACCCGGCUCUCGGAGCAGCAAACCAUCGGCAGCGGCAGCCUCGCGGGCCUCAGGACAAACCAGACCUCAGCCUCCAUCACACAUCGAGCCCUUCCAAAGUCCCUCCAACUUGUUUUUUUUUUUUCUUCUUUUUUUAUACUGUUACAUACUCGAGAUUUUACUGUGGCGCUUUGGCUACACCUCCUCCGACACCUGCGCGAAAGGUACCGACAAAGGUGCGUCCUUUGUCCACCGACUGACUGCAUCGCCUGUUUAACGUUAGCGGGUGUCUCGCUUUGCAUUCUUGUAUAUGCAAGUGUAAAGACGGACCACCGGGAAGGAGUGCAAAAACGUGAUUUAUGCAGCCACUUUGCAAGGCCAGAUGAACGGAAGUGUGGCUAAAGUGCUACUGGGUAACGUUAUUAUAUGACUAUAAUUAUUACUAUUCUGUAUAUCAUUCAUAUUAAUGUUAUUAUGAUAAUUAAAUACAUGUUGAAGCAUGACUUUGCAAAAAAAAAGAAAAAACAAUGCUGUACAUUUUUAGAUAUUUUAAAGAAAUACAAAAAAGUAUUUUUGUAAUCAAGACGAUGUUAAAGUGUGUGAGGAACUUUCAUACAUUUUAUUUUAUUUCGCCCUUUCGUGUUUUCGUGCCAUUAUAAAUAAUACGUCAGCCCCUGCUAUACCAAAGCAGUCCUGUCAGUUUCUACAUGCUGUGUGGAUUUUUUUUUCUUUACCUGAUGAAAGCCGACAACAGAAGCCCUUUGUGUGGUCAACGCACCUGAUCCAGCUUGUAAAUCUGCAGUUUGAAGGUAAUCAGACGUGCUAAAAAGAGGUAUUGACAGGAAUAAGCCAUCGCCGGUGAAGGUAGACUGACCCAAAGUGAGCCCUGCUAUAAUUAGGAAAUCUGUUCCUUCGAUGUGUAGCAGGUGGACGGCAACACAGUAUAGAGAAACAAAAGACCAAAGGCAUUUUUCCUUUUUUUCUUUUACACUGGAGAGCUAUUUCAUUUUUUGACUGCUUUGUAGUCUGAUUUCUUAUGAAGUAUGACAUUAUUUUUCGCUGCAUGUCCCUUUUGGUGUCACUCCAAAGAGCCACUCUGCAUCUGAAAGGACGUCCACUUUAAGCAAUUUGUCUCUUUUGUCUAUUUUUAGGGAGAGCCAGCGUGUUUUUGUAAAGUUUGAAUUUACAUAGUGAUGAUUGGAGUAUUAAAAAAGAAAAACAAAUAAUCUUUUGUAAUCUUUCUGGGCCUGCAAUAACAUCUUUGCUGUACGACAUAUCAUCCACUUGAUCAUAUUUCUGUGACAUUUUGACGCCGGGAUUCGUGUCAAAUUUGUGCAAAAACAAACCGUGAUUCUUGUAUUUUUCUGAUAAAGUCACAUUUCACCGUGAUGUGACAAUCAAAAACCUGAAAUACUGUAAAAUGUUCCCUUUUUUCCUGCCCAGGUUGUGUACAAUCAUAUUGGAGCGGUUGAGUCAUAUACAGUAGUCAGUGUUUGUAAUGAAUAAUGAUAAUAUGCAUCAUAUACUGUAUAUCAUAGCGACUGAUUUUCUGAAGCGGUUUUUGCUUUUACAUUUUUUUAAAGCCGAGUGUGGCACCAAAAUUUAUUAGAACAAGUAUUUAUAACAAUGUGUGUGCGUGUGUGUGAGAGUGUGUUUUUUAAUGGUCUUUUUAAAGCCCAUCCUAUAAUUCAUUGUAAGUAUUAUUGUAAGUUUAAAUUGUAUAUUCAUUUGCUAAUUUUCUAGAGCUUCUUUAUUUUUUCGUCCGAUUAGAGCAUACUGUAUGUGACGUGUGAAUACUGUUUUAUCUACAUAAUUCACUGUGAAAUCCGGAGGAAAAACUGCUCUUUGAACGAAUGGCUGUUGUUGUGUUUUUGCCAGCAGGAUGGUACAGAAGCUCCUGGAGAUUAAUACGACGAUCCCUCCCUGUUUUUGUCGAUGAGAAAUAUUCCUUUUCAGUAUAUCGUGUGCGUAGCUGUGUGUUCUGUGCAUGUUCACGGCAUGUGUGUGAUCCUAUUUUUCUUUUUUUUUCUUAAUGCAUACAGUACUGUUGAUAUUUAUGUACUUUAGCCGCUGUAAGGAGAAACUUUAUUUCGGUGAAUUGCAGAGGUUCGUUUGAAACUGAAAAAAAAAAAAAGAGUUGAUCAAAAUGAGAAGUUUUUAAGAAAAUGUUAAAUGAAGACAUUUCAGGCCAUCUGCCAUUAAAGAUUGCCAUUAUC